Molecule: ribosomal RNA, 181 nt
Filed under: Vibrio parahaemolyticus
Lineage: Bacteria; Pseudomonadati; Pseudomonadota; Gammaproteobacteria; Vibrionales; Vibrionaceae
Description: partial 23S ribosomal RNA
Rfam family: Bacterial large subunit ribosomal RNA
Source: RNAcentral
GUUGUAUGGUUAAGUGACUAAGCGUACACGGUGGAUGCCUUGGCAGUCAGAGGCGAUGAAGGACGUAUUAACUUGCGAUAAGCCCAGAUUAGGCAGUAAAAGCCACUUGAGUCUGGGAUUUCCGAAUGGGGAAACCCAACUGCAUAAGCAGUUACUGUUAACUGAAUACAUAGGUUAACAG